This 617-nucleotide long non-coding RNA is filed under the name Brassica rapa (field mustard). Its description in RNAcentral is "long non-coding RNA (BRAP_LNC001375)". The record is from RNAcentral. Lineage: Eukaryota; Viridiplantae; Streptophyta; Magnoliopsida; Brassicales; Brassicaceae.
AGAGAUUAAAGUUUCGUUUUUCCUUUGUUUUUUUUGGGAAAACAGGAAAAUGAAACAUUUUAAACUUUUAUUUGUCACAAUAGAACUUUUGAUACUUAGGACAAUUUUAGACAUAUUUUACCUUUUCUUUUAUGGAAAAAAUAGUAAACUAAAUUUUCAAAAUGUUAGAGAAUAUGAAAACUAUUGGAAACAUAAGUAUGACAAUAUAUAUGUUGAAAUUUUUUUUUUUUAAGUGGGAUCAUAUUUUAUUUUAUUUUCUAGCUAAAGUUAGAAUAUUUAUUCUGGUUAUCUACGUAGCCUAGAAAUCCGAUACUAAGUUUUAUACAUAAAUAUAUCCAGGAUAUAUAACGUAAACUAGAUUUUCUUAUAUAUUAUAACAUAUCUAUAAUUCAAAAUUGUUAUAAUCAAGAAAGAUGUCUUUGGUAUACCUACAGCUUGAUAACGACAUAUAGCCACAACGAAAUGAUAUACCUUAUCCAUAUUGUGUGCCAUAACUAGUUCUACCUUUUACCUUAUGUGGCGCUUAAGGAAGAAUAUGUUUCUCAUCUACUCUACUAUGUUCUGCGUAAGUUAGGAUAUAUAUAUAUAUUCUAGGGAAAUCUGGAAAAUAUGGAAAC